AGAGUUUGAUUACUGGCUCAGGGAUGAACGCUGGCGGCGUGCUUAACACAUGCAAGUCGAACGAAGCUCUCUUACGGAUCCCUUCGGGGUGAAGUAAGAGAUGACUGAGUGGCGGACGGGUGAGUAACGCGUGGGUAACCUACCCUAGUACAGGGGGAUAACGGUUGGAAACGACCGCUAAUACCGCAUAAGCGCACGGUACCGCAUGGUACAGUGUGAAAAAACUCCGGUGGUAUAGGAUGGACCCCGCGUCUGAUUAGCUAGUUGGCGGGGCAACGGCCCACCAAGGCGACGAUCAGUAGCCGACCUGAGAGGGUGACCGGCCACAUUGGGACUGAGACACGGCCCAAACUCCUACGGGAGGCAGCAGUGGGGAAUAUUGCACAAUGGGCGAAAGCCUGAUGCAGCCGACGCCACGUGAGUGAUUGAAGUAUUUCGGUAUGUAAAGCUCUAUCAGCAGGGAAGAAAAAUGACGGUACCUGACCAAGAAGCUCCGGCUAAAUACGUGCCAGCCGCAGC
RNAcentral lists this ribosomal RNA (519 nucleotides) under uncultured bacterium. Its description in RNAcentral is "bacterial SSU rRNA". It matches the Rfam family "Bacterial small subunit ribosomal RNA", at positions 8 to 518 of the family's 1533-position model. The record is from RNAcentral.